AUACUUACCUGGCAGGGGAGAUACCAUGAUCACAAAGAUGGUUUCCCAGAGCAAGGCUCAUCCAUUGCACCCAGAUGUACUGACCCCUGCGAGUUCCCCAAGGGGGGUGGGGGUGGGGGUAAUUGGUUCACUUGUUAUACCAUUUAUUAUUAAAAAC
Small nuclear RNA from Echinops telfairi (small Madagascar hedgehog), 157 nucleotides. Its record names the gene U1. It matches the Rfam family "U1 spliceosomal RNA". Rfam says of the family: U1 is a small nuclear RNA (snRNA) component of the spliceosome (involved in pre-mRNA splicing). Its 5' end forms complementary base pairs with the 5' splice junction, thus defining the 5' donor site of an intron. There are significant differences in sequence and secondary structure between metazoan and yeast U1 snRNAs, the latter being much longer (568 nucleotides as compared to 164 nucleotides in human). NCBI's taxonomy places the organism in Eukaryota, Metazoa, Chordata, Mammalia, Afrosoricida, Tenrecidae. The record is from Ensembl.